UGGUACCCACCACCACUACUACAUCUCUUACACCUACAACUUCUUUACCUAUUGCCCAUUGCAAACACAACCACAUUCAUUCAUUCACUACUCAUUCAUAUAUAUAUAUAUAUAUAUAGCACCCCCAUAAGCCACUGCACCCUCUGCAACAUCUUCUUCUCCUUCUCUUUCUUCCAUUCUGAUUGCAACACCACCACUCCACACCUUCCAACAUGGGCGGUAUCAGCCUUGAGGAAAUCAAAAACGAGAACGUUGAUCUGGAACGAAUUCCGGUGGAGGAAGUGUUUGAGCAGCUGAAAUGUUCAAGAGCAGGUCUAACAUCGGAGGAAGGAGCCAGUCGGCUUCAAGUUUUUGGACCAAACAAAUUGGAAGAGAAAAAGGAAAGCAAAAUUUUGAAGUUUUUGGGUUUCAUGUGGAACCCCUUGUCAUGGGUUAUGGAAGCUGCUGCUAUAAUGGCCAUUGCUCUGGCCAAUGGUGGAGGAAGGCCUCCGGAUUGGCAAGAUUUCGUUGGUAUCAUUGCUCUCUUGUUCAUUAACUCCACCAUCAGUUUCAUCGAAGAAAACAAUGCUGGUAAUGCAGCUGCUGCACUCAUGGCUGGUUUAGCUCCCAAGACCAAGGUUCUGAGAGAUGGGAGAUGGACAGAACAAGAUGCUGCAAUUUUGGUCCCAGGAGACAUAGUCAGCAUCAAACUGGGAGAUAUCAUUCCUGCUGAUGCCCGUCUUCUGGAGGGUGAUGCUCUGAGUGUUGAUCAGUCUGCUUUGACAGGAGAGUCUCUCCCAGUGACAAAGAAUCCCUCUGAUGAAGUGUUUUCUGGAUCAACCGUGAAGAAGGGUGAGAUAGAAGCAGUGGUGAUUGCCACUGGGGUGCACACCUUUUUUGGCAAGGCUGCUCAUCUGGUUGACAGCACCAACCAAGUUGGUCACUUCCAGAAAGUCCUUACAGCAAUCGGUAACUUCUGCAUUUGCUCCAUUGCGGUUGGAAUAAUCAUUGAGCUCAUAGUCAUGUACCCAAUACAACACCGCAAGUACAGAGAUGGGAUUGACAAUCUGUUAGUUCUCUUGAUCGGAGGAAUUCCGAUUGCCAUGCCAACUGUUCUGUCUGUCACUAUGGCUAUUGGUUCUCACAGGCUUUCACAGCAAGGUGCCAUUACAAAACGUAUGACGGCUAUUGAGGAAAUGGCAGGAAUGGAUGUCCUCUGCAGUGACAAAACUGGGACUCUCACCCUAAAUAAGCUCAGUGUUGACAAGAAUCUGAUUGAAGUUUUUGCCAAGGGUAUUGAGAAGGAUUAUGUUAUCCUUCUUGCAGCCAGGGCUUCUAGGACUGAGAAUCAGGAUGCUAUAGAUGCUGCAAUUGUUGGGAUGCUUGCUGAUCCAAAGGAGGCACGAGCUGGUAUCAGGGAGGUCCACUUUCUUCCAUUCAAUCCUGUGGACAAGAGGACUGCUCUAACUUACAUUGAUUCUGAUGGAAAUUGGCAUCGAUCUAGCAAAGGUGCUCCUGAGCAGAUAUUGAACCUCUGCAACUGCAAAGAAGAUGUCAGAAAGAGGGUUCAUGGAGUGAUUGACAAGUUUGCUGAGCGUGGACUCCGUUCGUUAGGUGUUGCUAAACAGGAGGUACCUGAGAAAAACAAGGAUAGUCCUGGUGCACCAUGGCAGUUUGUUGGUCUUCUACCACUUUUCGAUCCUCCAAGGCACGACAGUGCGGAAACCAUCACAAGAGCUCUGAACCUUGGUGUGAAUGUUAAGAUGAUUACUGGUGAUCAGCUUGCCAUUGCCAAGGAAACUGGCCGAAGGCUUGGGAUGGGAACAAACAUGUACCCAUCUUCUUCAUUGCUUGGACAAAGCAAGGAUGCUUCUGUUUCAGCUCUUCCAGUUGAUGAAUUGAUUGAGAAAGCUGAUGGAUUUGCUGGAGUAUUUCCUGAACACAAAUAUGAAAUCGUGAAGAGGCUUCAAGAGAGGAAGCAUAUAUGUGGAAUGACAGGUGAUGGUGUCAACGAUGCCCCUGCAUUAAAGAAAGCAGACAUUGGAAUUGCUGUUGCUGAUGCCACAGAUGCUGCUAGAAGUGCUUCUGACAUUGUCCUCACCGAACCUGGUCUGAGUGUCAUUAUUAGUGCAGUGCUGACCAGCAGGGCAAUUUUCCAAAGGAUGAAGAAUUAUACUAUCUAUGCAGUGUCCAUCACCAUUCGUAUAGUGUUUGGUUUCAUGUUUAUUGCAUUGAUUUGGAAAUUUGAUUUUGCACCCUUCAUGGUGUUGAUUAUUGCAAUACUAAACGAUGGUACCAUCAUGACAAUUUCCAAGGAUCGAGUGAAACCAUCUCCACUGCCAGACAGCUGGAAGCUGAGGGAGAUUUUUGCCACUGGUGUUGUGCUAGGUAGUUACUUGGCACUAAUGACAGUGGUAUUUUUCUGGCUCAUUAAGGAUACCAGUUUCUUCUCGGACAAGUUUGGUGUGAGGUCUAUAAGAAAUAGCCCCGGAGAAAUGAUGGCAGCCCUGUACCUACAAGUCAGUAUUAUAAGUCAAGCACUGAUUUUUGUCACAAGGUCCCGCAGCUGGUCUUAUGUUGAAAGACCUGGUCUUCUCCUACUGAGUGCUUUUAUGAUUGCACAGCUGGUGGCAACAUUUCUAGCAGUAUAUGCUAACUGGGGCUUUGCAAGAAUUGAGGGAAUGGGAUGGGGUUGGGCUGGUGUAAUCUGGCUCUACAGUUUAGUGACAUAUGUUCCACUUGAUAUACUUAAAUUCGCAAUCCGCUAUGUUCUCAGUGGGAAGGCUUGGGACAAUCUUUUAGAGAACAAGACUGCCUUCACUACAAAGAAAGACUAUGGAAAAGAAGAGAGAGAAGCACAAUGGGCAACUGCACAGAGAACUCUUCACGGUCUUCAGCCACCUGAAACAACCAACCUUUUCAAUGACAAGAACAGUUACAGGGAGCUUUCAGAGAUUGCUGAACAAGCUAAGAGACGUGCUGAGGUUGCUAGGAAUUACACUUAGAUGAAACUCUAAUUGUAAUUGGAAAACAUCAAUAAAAGCACCUAAGGAGCUAUAUACUCAGGGAGCUUCAUACUCUGAAAGGACAUGUUGAGUCAGUGGUGAAGCUGAAAGGACUUGACAUUGACACAAUCCAACAGCAUUACACAGUUUAAGAAGCUUGGACAAUCUUCAAGAAGCCACUCUGGUGCUGUCCAAGAACAAAAACAACAAAUAUAAUGAAGACCUAAGUUAAUGUGUCUUUAUAUUAGGAUGAAGGUCCUUUUGUGAAAAUUUGAACGGUUACUGUUCCUUUUCAUCUGUGUCAGUAGCUCAAGGAGAUGCUAUGCUCUUUAGAUACCAAAUAACAUGGUAGAUAGGAUUUACUUACGUCUUAUUUUGAGAGUGUUAAAUGAUAUCAAGGUCACUGUUAAGCUCUCUUUUUUUUUUUUUCUGAUGAACAAAACUCGAUAUAUUUCCCAUCUUGAUCAACGUAGCUCAAUAAUGAAUUCAA
This is an RNA transcript of Vigna unguiculata (cowpea), 3474 nucleotides long. It is a transcript of the gene named plasma membrane ATPase 4-like, with no coding region annotated. NCBI's taxonomy places the organism in Eukaryota, Viridiplantae, Streptophyta, Magnoliopsida, Fabales, Fabaceae. The record is from RefSeq and is a predicted model, not a curated record.